Molecule: RNA transcript, 4171 nt
Organism: Brassica napus (rape)
Lineage: Eukaryota; Viridiplantae; Streptophyta; Magnoliopsida; Brassicales; Brassicaceae
Gene name: paired amphipathic helix protein Sin3-like 5
Exons: 21
Source: RefSeq, a predicted model, not a curated record
GCACAUACAUAAACAAUCACAGGCCUCCUCCUUCUCUUUCUUUCCCUCUCUCGCUCGAGCUUUUAGCCUUUGAUUUUUAUUUUCGGGUAACCUCUCUCGAAAACUAUUUGUAUCUCAGAGAGAAAGAGAUAAAGAGAUUACAGAGAGAGAGAGAGAGAUCCAAAACCAGAAGCAAUCUUCUUCGUUUGCCUUUUUUUGUUCUUCUUCUUUCGUGUGAAGAUUGGUAUCCCUUUUCUCCGCCAAACUCCCCGCCGCCGAUCCACUCCCUUCUAUGUACGUUUUAUCUUCUUCGGAAGGAACCUAGAACUUGUCUCUGUCCCUUUGAAGAACGUGAUCCUGUCUCUUCAAGGGUAGUGAAGCGUUUCUUGUUUAUUGUGAAAGUCGAAGAUAGAGAGAGAGAUGAAGAGAGUUAGAGAAGAGGUUUACGUUGAAGCUCAGACACGAGGACAAACAAAUGGUAGUAGGCCUUUAACGAUAGGUGGAGGAGGAGGAGGAAACAUGGGAGGGCUAACAACGAAUGAUGCCCUGAGCUAUCUCAAAGCUGUCAAGGAUAUGUUUCAAGACAAGAAAGACAAGUACGACACUUUCCUUGCACUCAUGAAGGACUUUAAAGCCCAGAGAGUUAACACUGAUGGCGUCAUUGCAAGUGUAAAGGAGUUGUUCAAGGGCUAUGACGACUUGCUUUUGGGUUUUAAUACCUUCUUGCCUAAGGGUUACAGAAUAACCCUUCCUGAGAAGAAGCCUGUGGCUUUUGGAGAAGCUAUCGACUUUGUUAACAAGAUCAAGGCGCGGUUUGGGGAUGAUAACCGUGCGUAUAAAAGAUUCCUGGACAUCUUGAACAUGUAUAGAAAGGAAGGCAAGUCCAUCUCCUCUGUCUAUCAAGAGGUUACUCUGUUGUUCCAGGGCCAUGAAGAUCUGCUUGCUGAGUUUGUUAAUUUCUUACCUAAUAAUUCAGGAUCAGGUUCUGGAAGCAAUGCAGUACCGCAUGAUAGAAGUUCUUCACUUCAUCCAAUGCAUUUUAACAAGAAAAUAAAAAUUGGAAGUAGGCUUGAUGAGUAUACCGCUCACUCUGAUCAACGUGAAGAUGGUGAUGAGAAUCUUGUGGCUUCUGGUAAUUCUCGGGGAAAAUCCCUUAAUCAAGGUCAAUGGCGGCAGGUAGAAGACAACGAGGAUGUAGUCUUUGGCCAAAAAAAUAAUAUGGUCAAGGGUAUAAAUGAACUGGAUCUUACUGACUGUGUACAAUGUACACCAAGCUAUCGUCACCUGCCAGAUGAUUAUCCCAUUCCUAUUUCAAGCUACAGAAAUUCACUAGGUGAAAAGGUACUCAAUGAUCAUUGGGUUUCUGUCACAUCGGGGAGCGAGGAUUACUCAUUCAAACACAUGCGUAAAAACCAGUAUGAAGAAAGCUUGUUUCGGUGUGAAGAUGACAGGUUUGAGUUGGAUAUGUUAUUAGAGUCUGUGAAUGCAGCCAUUAAGCGUGUGGAAACUCUUCUGGAGAAGAUCAACAACAACACAAUCUCUACACCAAUUUGUAUCAAAGAACACUUAUCAGUGCUGAACCUAAGAUGCAUUGAGCGGUUGUACGGGGAUUAUGGGCUUGACGUUAUGGAAAUUCUGAAGAAGAAUUCUCAUAUCGCCUUGCCAGUGAUACUAACUCGCUUGAAGCAGAAACAAGAAGAAUGGGCUAGGUGUCGCUUUGAUUUCAGGAAAGUAUGGGCUGAUGUAUAUGCUAAGAAUCAUCACAAAUCACUAGAUCACCGUAGCUUUUAUUUUAAGCAGCAGGACUCCAAGAAUCUCAGCACAAAAGGUUUAGUGGCUGAAAUAAAAGAUAUCAGUGACAGUAAGCAUAAAGAAGACCCGCUUCAUGCCAUUGCUGUCGGAACUAAGCCCUCUUUCACCCCAGACUUGGAGUUCAGUUAUUCCGAUACUCAAGUUCAUGCUGACUUAUACCAACUAAUCAAGUAUUACUGCGAAGAAAUAUGUGCUACUGAACAGUCAGAUAAAGUAAUGAAGCUGUGGGUAGCCUUUUUGGAGCCCAUCUUUGGCGUUCCUUCUAGGUCUCAAAGUGGUGAGGCAAUGAUAGAUGUUGCAAAGUCCAAAGACAACCAAGAGCAACAUGAUGCAUGUGAGGCAGUGAAGGAGAGCACCUGUGAUGUUUCUCUUGUCUCAAACCUAAAACUUAUAACACCUCCAACAACACCUAACAAAGAAAACCCAACAGUACAAGGGAGCUCUGUCGCACAAGAAACCAUUCAGCAAGAUAAACUGCAUGUUGGCGCAGCUAUGAAUAUUAAGGAUACCCAGCCGGUGGCACCACCCAGAAAGGAUUUGUUAAUGGAGGGUGUAGAGAAUCGUACUGAUGUAAUAAUGGGAGAUCAGAAGGUUGAGCGAGAAGAGGGUGAGUUAUCCCCCACCGAAAGUUUUGAGCAAGACAAUCAUGAGGUUUAUAGAGACAAUGGCGUUGAGUCUCUUCAGAAACUGCCAGACAAUGUAGGAAGUAAUAAAGAGCAAGAGCACAAAGGAGGUGCAGUCUGUACUGAAGCCAAAGCAAAGAGCAGUACUCUCCCUAAAGAUGAUGAAAAUAAAAUCACUCACGCCUCAGGAAGCAAAUGUGGUGGCCAAGUUUCUUCCGAUGAAGAGCAUAAAGGAGCUAUGAACUGUGACCGGCUUGGCAGUGUGAUUGAGAGUGAAAACGAGGCUGUAGGGAUGAUUAAUGCCAAUGAGACUGAAGAUGGGUCUCUCACAUUUUCAGAACGGUAUCUGCAACCUGUAAAGCCCCUUGCAAAGCAUGUGCCUGGAGCACUACAAGUCAGUGAAAGUAACUCUCCUAAUGAUUCUCGAGUUUUCUACGGGAAUGAUUCCUUUUAUGUGCUUUUUAGGCUGCAUCAAAUGUUGUACGAGAGAAUACAAUCUGCAAAGAUACAUUCAGAGAGGAAAUGGAAAGCUCCAGAUCCAGAUAACACAUCUCCUGAUUCUUAUACCAGGUUCAUGGAUGCUCUCUACAAUUUACUUGACGGCUCGAGUGAUAAUACAAAGUUUGAAGAUGAGUGCCGAGCUCUUAUUGGAGCACAAUCAUAUGUUCUCUUCACAUUGGACAAGCUAGUUCAGAAGUUUGUCAAACAUCUUCAUUCAGUUGCAGCUGAUGAGACCGACACCAAGCUACUACAACUAUACACAUAUGAGAACUACAGAAAACCGGGAAGGUUCUUUGAUAUAGUGUACCAUGAGAAUGCGCGAGCCCUUCUCCAUGAGCAGAACAUAUACCGGAUUGGAUAUUCAUCUGCACAAACCCGUCUCGCGAUUCAACUUAUGAACAACGGGAACGAUCAUCAGCCUGAAGUUACAGCUGUAACGGUGGAACCAGGUUUUGCAAAUUAUCUACAGAAUGACUUUCUUUCGCUUGUACCUGAUGAAGAAAGACCUGGUCUAUAUCUGAAGAGGAACAUGGCGAAAAUGAGCGGUCCAGAUGAAUCUUCAGGGAUGUUGCGUGCAAUGGAAGGACUGAAGAUUAUCAAUGAGGUCGAAUGCAAGAUGGCUUGCAGUUCUUCCAAGGUCAAGUAUGAACCAAAUACAUCAGAUCUUCUGUAUAGAGUCAAGCAGAAGAAACCAAAAGUGAAUCCAAAUGGGCUUGACAAUGAUAAAACUCCUGGUAGCAGUGAAACCUCUAGAAAGAGAAAAAUAUCGCGUUUUCACAUGUGUCUGAACCGUAGACUUGCUGCCUUGCCUUAACAACGCGGCUUCAAGCACGUGUGAAAGUUCUUGGCUGAGAUAUGCAAGUAUGAGUUAGUGGUAGAGACUAGAGACCGACCAAACUGUCUUUGACAAAGAUUCUUGCAUCAUUUCUGGCUCAGAGAGAUUCUUCACAUGUCAACCGUAAAUUUUCAUUUUUCCUAAAAAUUGCGUCUGGAGCCGCCAGUUUUGGUGUAUAGUGUUCAAGUCCAAAGACCUGGGAAGAAGAAAGUAAUUAAAGCGAAAAUGCGACCAGUAAGUGCAUAUAAAAACCAACUAUAAAUAAAGAGAGGAGCAAGCAGAAACGUCUUGUUGCUGGAGAAGAAGACGACACAGAGAAGCAUCCUAGCUAUACCUAACUGAACUAGAGUAGUCUUAGGAAGUCUGAAACAUGUCAUUGCAAACACCAACCGUUGACUUUAAUAAAAUAAAAUUUCCACCU